Molecule: long non-coding RNA, 577 nt
Organism: Rhipicephalus sanguineus (brown dog tick)
Lineage: Eukaryota; Metazoa; Arthropoda; Arachnida; Ixodida; Ixodidae
Exons: 2
Source: RefSeq, a predicted model, not a curated record
AAAUUACCCAGACAACCACGCUUUCUUGCUUGUAUGUUCCAGGUAGCUUCAAACCAGCUACUAAUGUAAACCUAACUUUUAACCCCCCUUCAAAAGUAACUUGAGAUGUUAUCAAUGUAAAAGGCACAACUAUAUUCGUGUGCAUUGAAAACAGCCAUUUUUGUGAGAAAGCCUAGCCAUAUUAUGAGAAAUAGAGAAUUGUUUUUUUUUUCUUUAAUCAAAUGAAUCUCUUGAUUCUAUCGCUCACUGUCGAACAAGUGCAUUUCCCACCUCCCAAUGUUAUAAGUGCUCAAGAGGUUCUACUGAAUAAUUUCAUUUUCUGAAGACUGGAGAUCCUAAAGAAAUCUACAAAACAGUCCUGUUCACACCAUUUUUUGCCAUGGAAUUUAUAGUUAAAAUGAUUACUAGAGCCCUGUGUGUAACGUUCAUGCAGGUCAUCUUAUAUUUUAUAAAGAAAGGUGGCACAGACGUGGAAGUUGAUAUUUUCACAUGUAACACUAAAAAGCAAACCCACCUCCCAGCUCUCGCUGUAUUAAAUAAGGAGUAAUAUCACUGGGUGCCAUCUCUUUUCUCUCCA